ACCAGUGGCAGUAGCAAGUUGAAUGUACCGACUCUAAAUGAAUCAAUUUUCAACAUUGCAUGUGGAUAGUACCUGAAUGGGAGACCAUUUGGGCAAUCACUUGCCGCUGGUU
This 112-nucleotide ribosomal RNA is filed under the name Diaphorina citri (Asian citrus psyllid). The record is from RNAcentral. Lineage: Eukaryota; Metazoa; Arthropoda; Insecta; Hemiptera; Psyllidae.